AAGCGAGGAUAGCUCAGUGGAAAGAGCAGAUGGCUUUUAACCAUCCCGUCGCAGGUUCGAAUCCUGCUCCAGC
RNAcentral lists this transfer RNA (73 nucleotides) under Hyphomicrobiales bacterium. RNAcentral describes it as "tRNA-Lys". The stretch from base 7 to 70 matches the Rfam family "tRNA", at positions 5 to 66 of the family's 71-position model. Rfam says of the family: Transfer RNA (tRNA) molecules are approximately 80 nucleotides in length. Their secondary structure includes four short double-helical elements and three loops (D, anti-codon, and T loops). Lineage: Bacteria; Pseudomonadati; Pseudomonadota; Alphaproteobacteria; Hyphomicrobiales. RNAcentral also lists the same sequence under 1 other name. The record is from RNAcentral.